Long non-coding RNA from Pundamilia nyererei, 1806 nucleotides. RefSeq lists it as uncharacterized. Lineage: Eukaryota; Metazoa; Chordata; Actinopteri; Cichliformes; Cichlidae. The record is from RefSeq and is a predicted model, not a curated record. The transcript has 2 exons.
UCAUCAUCCUCCUCCAUCCUCCACUGCUAAGAUGCUGCAUCUUCUCACACAAGCUGCAGUAAUGUGCUUUAAUGCGCUGGUUAUCGCUCAGCCCGACGACUACAGGGUGGCCGAGAGAGCUUAUGUGGUCCUGCAGAAGCAGAAUUUAGUCACACUGGGGAGUGUCCUGGCGGUGGUGCUGGUGCUGAUGAUCAUUAUGGCUGUCUGCGUCUACAAACCGCUGUCUCGUCGCUGAAAUCUGGAGGACAUAUGAACCGAGAGACAAUCCUGUUCUGUGUGCAAAGUUACACCCGCUCUGUUGCCGUAACCAUGUGCAGAUGGGAACCGACUGAGGGAAAAGCAGCUGCCAAAAAGCCCAGUGUGCGCAGUUAGUUUAUAAACACAGAUCAGGCGUAACUUUGUGAGCACUGAUGGUGAAUAACAGUGAUUAUGUCUUCAUCAUGGCACCUGUUGGUGAGUGUGGGCUAUAUUAGGGUGCAAGUAAUCAUUAUGUCCUCAAAUUUGGUGUGUUAGAAGCAGGAAAAUGUGCAAGCAUAGGUGUUUGAGUGAGUUUGAGGGCCACUUUGUGAUAGCCAACUCUACUGAACAUCUCCAGAAUUGCGGGUCUCUUGGGCUCUUCCCGGUGUACGGUGGUCAGUUUCUAUCAGAAGUGGUCCAAGCAUGGAGGCUCACUGAUGUACGUCGAGAGUAACGGCUGGCCAACUUGGCCCAAUGCAACAUUUUCAGCAAUUUGAGCUACUGUAGCUCAAAGUGGAGUCCAUGCUUUGAUGGUUCAAGGCUGUUUUGGUAGGAAAAGAAGGACUAACGCAGUAUUAGACAGGUGGCCAUAAUGCUAUGCCUGAUCAGUGUAUCUUUAGUGUCUUUAAUUUAUCUUGAUCUCAGGUCAGUUAUUAAUAUAAUUUAAAGUGAACACAGAUACAGUGAAGAUCAAACAUCUGAGACUGGGCCUCAUGUUUCCAGCAGAAAACUGCUUUACCACUAUCACCUGUGUCAUCUUCAGGUGAUAGUGGCAAAAGAAACUGAAUCACAUUUUAUGACUAGACAAAGAUCGCAGAUUAAAACUUUCCAGAAAUUGCUGCAUCUAAACCUCGCUGUUCACUGUCACUUAAAAGCAACUCCAUCACAGAUAAGGACAUUUCUAAAUAAAAAGUAGAAGAAUAAAAAGUGCAGUUGAAAUAACCACGUCUAGUCUGGUCUCAGAGGAGGAGCGGUGGUCUCUUGGGUUGGGUAGGUGUGUAAAUGCGAGAUUUGUGUCAGUAGCACAAGGGUAUAUGCGGAGAGAGAGAAGGAUAACAGUGCAUUAAACCCAAAGUGCUCUGGAGAUGGAUACUUGUACUGAGUUGACUCCACCCUGACCAAGGAGAACCACUGGUUUCAUCAGAGACAUCCUUCACCCUUCUGGUUUUGGAGAAUAUUAUUACUGCUAAGGAGCCAACACACCGGGCUCGCAGGAACUACUUUAAGAUGAUACACAUCACAAGAAACUCCUUGAAUCAUUUGCUAUUAGCUGUUAUCAUUUUCAAAUAGGGGGUAGAUAUUCUGAAAUUCAGAUUCAUUUUUAAGGCUUUUUGGCUCCACUGCAUAUUAGUUUAUGUAAAAUUGCUUUUGUAAAUAGAAUGAGACAAAACUGAUUUAAAAUGCUCACCUAAUGGCACAAGUAGUAAUCUGGGCCUGUAUUUUAUAAAAAGAGAGCACCAUGUGUUAUUUAUUUGGGUUUCAAAGCUGGAAAUUUUGUGAUUGGUUGCAUUUUUUGUUUGAUGAAAAGCAGAAGUUCUGCAAGCAUUAAACUUUGAGAUUAAAAAGUGA